UACGAAGGGGGCUAGCGUUGCUCGGAAUCACUGGGCGUAAAGGGUGCGUAGGCGGGUCUUUAAGUCAGGGGUGAAAUCCUGGAGCUCAACUCCAGAACUGCCUUUGAUACUGAAGAUCUUGAGUUCGGGAGAGGUGAGUGGAACUGCGAGUGUAGAAGUGAAAUUCGUAGAUAUUCGCAAGAACACCAGUGGCGAAGGCGGCUCACUGGCCCGAUACUGACGCUGAGGCACGAAAGCGUGGGGAGCAAACAGG
RNAcentral lists this ribosomal RNA (253 nucleotides) under uncultured bacterium. RNAcentral's name for it is "partial 16S ribosomal RNA". It matches the Rfam family "Bacterial small subunit ribosomal RNA", at positions 524 to 776 of the family's 1533-position model. The record is from RNAcentral.